GACGAACGCUGGCGGCGUGCCUAAUACAUGCAAGUAGAACGCUGAAGCUUGGUGCUUGCACCGAGCGGCUGAGUUGCGAACGGGUGAGUAACGCGUAGGUAACCUGCCUGGUAGCGGGGGAUAACUAUUGGAAACGAUAGCUAAUACCGCAUAAGAGUAUAUGUUGCAUGACAUUUGCUUAAAAGGUGCAAUUGCAUCACUACCAGAUGGACCCGCGUUGUAUUAGCUAGUUGGUGAGGUAACGGCUCACCAAGGCAACGAUACAUAGCCGACCUGAGAGGGUGAUCGGCCAAACUGGGACUGAGACACGGCCCAGACUCCUACGGGAGGCAGCAGUAGGGAAUCUUCGGCAAUGGACGGAAGGCUGAACGAGCAACGCCGCGUGAGGGAAGAAGGUUGUCGGAUCGGAAAGCUCUGUUGUAAGAGAAGAACGAGUGUGAGAGUGGAAAGUUCACACUGUGACGGUAUCUGACCAGAAAGGGACGGCUAACUACGUG
This 497-nucleotide ribosomal RNA is filed under the name uncultured bacterium. RNAcentral's name for it is "partial 16S ribosomal RNA". It matches the Rfam family "Bacterial small subunit ribosomal RNA", at positions 28 to 507 of the family's 1533-position model. The record is from RNAcentral.